RNAcentral lists this ribosomal RNA (779 nucleotides) under uncultured bacterium. RNAcentral describes it as "bacterial SSU rRNA". It matches the Rfam family "Bacterial small subunit ribosomal RNA", at positions 8 to 798 of the family's 1533-position model. The record is from RNAcentral.
AGAGUUUGAUCCUGGCUCAGGAUGAACGCUGGCGGCGUGCUUAACACAUGCAAGUCGAACGGUGAACACGGAGCUUGCUCUGUGGGAUCAGUGGCGAACGGGUGAGUAACACGUGAGCAACCUGCCCCUGACUCUGGGAUAAGCGCUGGAAACGGCGUCUAAUACUGGAUAUGUGACGUGAUCGCAUGGUCUGCGUCUGGAAAGAAUUUCGGUUGGGGAUGGGCUCGCGGCCUAUCAGCUUGUUGGUGAGGUAAUGGCUCACCAAGGCGUCGACGGGUAGCCGGCCUGAGAGGGUGACCGGCCACACUGGGACUGAGACACGGCCCAGACUCCUACGGGAGGCAGCAGUGGGGAAUAUUGCACAAUGGGCGCAAGCCUGAUGCAGCAACGCCGCGUGAGGGACGACGGCCUUCGGGUUGUAAACCUCUUUUAGCAGGGAAGAAGCGAAAGUGACGGUACCUGCAGAAAAAGCGCCGGCUAGCUACGUGCCAGCAGCCGCGGUAAUACGUAGGGCGCAAGCGUUAUCCGGAAUUAUUGGGCGUAAAGAGCUCGUAGGCGGUUUGUCGCGUCUGCUGUGAAAUCCGGAGGCUCAACCUCCGGCCUGCAGUGGGUACGGGCAGACUAGAGUGCGGUAGGGGAGAUUGGAAUUCCUGGUGUAGCGGUGGAAUGCGCAGAUAUCAGGAGGAACACCGAUGGCGAAGGCAGAUCUCUGGGCCGUAACUGACGCUGAGGAGCGAAAGGGUGGGGAGCAAACAGGCUUAGAUACCCUGGUAGUCCAA